GGGAGAGCUAGGCUGGCGCGCUAGUCCUGCGUUGUUACUGUGAAUGGACUUUACACAGAGCCGAAGCCCAAUUAAGGGUCAGUUUAGUCUGAUCAGUCCUGGCAUUUUUGUUGACGACUUGUCCUUUGGGAUGAACUUGUAGUGAAUCAGGUCAGAUCUGGAAAGAAGCAGCCUUAAACUAUAACAUUCAUGUUCAAAGGGUUGCAAGUUUGAGAAAAUGUUGGGAUUCAACUGGUUAGGUUAUUCUGAUUCGACUGAGGGUGUGCCCC
RNAcentral lists this signal recognition particle RNA (269 nucleotides) under archaeon. RNAcentral's name for it is "signal recognition particle sRNA". It matches the Rfam family "Archaeal signal recognition particle RNA". The record is from RNAcentral.